RNAcentral lists this ribosomal RNA (578 nucleotides) under Minervarya asmati (Bangladeshi cricket frog). RNAcentral describes it as "partial large subunit ribosomal RNA". It matches the Rfam family "Bacterial large subunit ribosomal RNA", at positions 1810 to 2602 of the family's 2925-position model. RNAcentral also lists the same sequence under 1 other name. The record is from RNAcentral. Lineage: Eukaryota; Metazoa; Chordata; Amphibia; Anura; Dicroglossidae.
AAAACAUCGCCUCUUGACCCCUUAUAAGAAGGUCUAGCCUGCCCAGUGAUAUUUUUAACGGCCGCGGUACUCUGACCGUGCGAAGGUAGCAUAAUCACNUUGUUNCUUUAAAUGAGGACUAGUAUCAACGGCAUCACGAGGAUUUUACUGUCUCCUUUUUCCUAUCGGUGAAACUGAUCUCCCCGUGAAGAAGCGGGGAUAUUACUAUAAGACGAGAAGACCCCAUGGAGCUUUAAACCCAGAGACACCUCAAACCCUUCCCCCCAUAAAAGUUCUUAUGUGCUGUCCUCUGGUUUUAGGUUGGGGUGACCGCGGAGUAAAACUUAACCUCCACAACGCACGGNAACUUCUUCCCUAUCUAAGAGCAACAUCUCNAAANGAAUUAACACAUUAACGUAAAAUGAUCCAAUAACCUUUAUUUUGAUUAACGAACCAAGUUACCCUGGGGAUAACAGCGCAAUCCAUUUCCAGAGCCCCUAUCGACAAAUGGGUUUACGACCUCGAUGUUGGAUCAGGGUAUCCCAGUGGUGCAGCCGCUACUAAUGGUUUGUUUGUUCAACAAUUAAAAACCCUACGUG